UUGCACAGUGAACACCCAAGUGUGCUUUAUAGUUCCCUUGGCUUUGACUCUGUGCUAGAGCAAUGUCUGUUCUUUUCCUCUGCAUUGAAAGGACUGUUCAUCCUUUUAAAUGUAUUCAUAAAGUCAGCACAUUA
Molecule: small nucleolar RNA, 134 nt
Organism: Eptesicus fuscus (big brown bat)
Lineage: Eukaryota; Metazoa; Chordata; Mammalia; Chiroptera; Vespertilionidae
Product: small nucleolar RNA SNORA22
Exons: 1
Source: RefSeq, a predicted model, not a curated record